GCCCUCGUAGCUCAGUGGAUAGAGCACUUGGUUGCGGACCAAGGGGUCGGGAGUUCAAGUCUCUCCGAGGGCACCA
This 76-nucleotide transfer RNA is filed under the name Chloroflexota bacterium. RNAcentral's name for it is "Chloroflexi bacterium tRNA-Arg". It matches the Rfam family "tRNA". From Rfam's summary of the family: Transfer RNA (tRNA) molecules are approximately 80 nucleotides in length. RNAcentral also lists the same sequence under 1 other name. Lineage: Bacteria; Bacillati; Chloroflexota. The record is from RNAcentral.